This 465-nucleotide ribosomal RNA is filed under the name uncultured bacterium. Its description in RNAcentral is "bacterial SSU rRNA". It matches the Rfam family "Bacterial small subunit ribosomal RNA", at positions 330 to 793 of the family's 1533-position model. The record is from RNAcentral.
UCCAGACUCCUACGGGAGGCAGCAGUGAGGAAUAUUGGUCAAUGGCCGAGAGGCUGAACCAGCCAAGUCGCGUGAGGGAAGACGGCCCUACGGGUUGUAAACCUCUUUUGUCGGGGAGCAAAGCGAGUCACGUGUGACUCAUUGAGAGUACCCGAAGAAAAAGCAUCGGCUAACUCCGUGCCAGCAGCCGCGGUAAUACGGAGGAUGCGAGCGUUAUCCGGAUUUAUUGGGUUUAAAGGGUGCGCAGGCGGAGGUGCAAGUCAGCGGUCAAAUUGCGGGGCUCAACCCCGUACUGCCGUUGAAACUGGGGGCCUUGAGUGGGCGAGAAGAAGGCGGAAUGCGUGGUGUAGCGGUGAAAUGCAUAGAUAUCACGCAGAACCCCGAUUGCGAAGGCAGCCUUCCGGCGCCCUACUGACGCUGAGGCACGAAAGCGUGGGUAUCGAACAGGAUUAGAUACCCCAGUAU